Non-coding RNA from Equus caballus (horse), 2762 nucleotides. Lineage: Eukaryota; Metazoa; Chordata; Mammalia; Perissodactyla; Equidae. The record is from RefSeq and is a predicted model, not a curated record.
CCGCCUGGCCGCCCCCUCCUCGCCGGGACCCAGCCCCUUCCGCCCAGCUCAUCUGCUCGCCUCCUCGCUCCCGCGGACCCAAGGCUCAGAGCCAGCCGGUGCCCCGGGCCCUGGUCACCGGGAAGAGCCAGAGGCCUCCGCGCGCCCCUACUCCCCGCCUGGGCCAGACACGUGCGCAGCAUAUAGCUCCGGCCACGUCGGCGCGGCGGCGGGUGUCAUCUUGCCAGAUAUGAAAAAUUAAGUGGCAACAAGCACAGUCCUUCGGACCUAAUGGGCCAAGGGGAAGAGGCACUGGCUCACUCAAGACAGCCAAGUUUGGUCAGAUUGCCGAGGUAUGGACAAUGGGAUGUGCCUGGAGGGAUCUAUACCACUUCCAAGUCUUGGCUUUAAAAGGAUGGAAGAGGCACCCUACUACUCCCUCACCCCGACUCCCUGCUUCCUACUGGUGGAAAUGCUGAGACCAGAGCAGCCAACCUGGAUUCAGUGACAGGAGCCUCAUGUUAAUGAUGGAAGAGCCACCCUUCCAACUCUUGAAUGUAUUUCCUGAUUGUUAUCUAUGAGAGAAAAAAGUUCUUUCUAGUUUAAAUAUUAUAUUUUGGAGUCUCUUUGUUAUGUCGGCUUAGCCUGUACCCUAACCAAUACAGUCCCUUUCUCUCAGGACUGUUUUUAUUUUUCCUUUUUAGCCUUAUUUUAUUACUCUUACUGGAUUAUGUCUUUUAGUAUGAUUCCUUACAUCCUUCCUAGCAAGAGGCAAAUAAUUAAAAAAAUAAAGAACUACUAAACCCCCGUUAUUGACAUUUGCCAUUUCCAUGGCUGCCAAUCAUCUUUAAAUUGUCUCUUUACAUCUGGGAAGGUUCUGUCAAAGAUAAAGCUGGACAUUAGCUAAAGCAGGGAAAACAGAUUUUAUGCAGUAACCAGUGACAGGGAAAAGCGCUGAGCUCCGUUCUGAUACAGGCAGAGGGGACUAGGUGUUUUAAAGGGAGAACGAAGGAGCCGGGAUAGGGAGACUCAAGUGAAAAAAUUACAAAGCAAUGGUCACCAUAAAUGUGAUUAGGCCUGCUGUGUCUGCUAGCUGGCGAUUAUCAAAGCUAGGAUUCUGUCCUCCCACAGAGCUUGGGAGGCAGAAGCCCCAUCCCUCCUGAUGAUUACAUUUCAAAGGAAUGAUGUUCAGGUCCUUGAGAAAGACACUCCUGAGUUGUAGGAGAUACAUAUAUAUCUCAAAGAGACAGAGAAAGGAUUCAAAACUGCAAGCCCUUCUUAAUAAAUGCUCUGAGAAAGGGAGAUCAGGGACCUGUCGUCAGGUGUUGGCUAGAACAGACAGUAAAUUCUUUUGACAGCCCUGAGCCUUUCCAGACAGGGACUCAAAAGAGCACUGAGUGUCCCAGGGAGAUGGCCUUAGGCUGCUAGAAGCCAUGUUAAAAUUUGGUUAAGUCUCUUAGUGCAGGGGUUUGAAUGGAGUGUUCACGCUGAGGGGUUUUGCAGUUCUCAGUUCCCACAUUAUGAAUCCCACCUCCUUAAUAGAGGAGUCCAAACUCACAUCUCCAGAUUCUCUUGCAGCUAGAGUGCAGGUGUUUGACCAAGUUUCUACUAUAUUCUUGGGUGGAUAAGUGAGAAACAUGAGACGGAGGCUAGGCUCAGGGAAAAUGAUCUUCAGGUAAGCAUGGUGGUGAAGAUAUUGGUAUUUGGGGGCAGUAAGGCCAAUGUCUUUGAGGGGAUGUGGCAAGACUAGGUCUGAGUAUAUAAACACUGCAAAUGGAAUUGCUUGCUGCUCCUGGAACCAACUGCCACCACCAGGCUGAAUGACUGCUGCUGGGGUGAUGCUGACGGGAACAGGAAGAAAAACAGAGAAAGAACAAAUCCCUUCUCCUUUCUCCAGCCUUUUGGUCCCCUUUAAGCAGCCUCUAUUGCCCUGUAGGCAAAAGAGAAAUGUGUACCCCCAACGAAGAAUAUACAACUAUGUACCGGGGGGCUUUGGGGAGAAAACGGAAAAAAAUAACAUCUUUAAAAAAAAAGAGAAAUGUGGUCUGCAUCCCCAGCACCUCAAGGAGAGUAUGGAAGGGUAGGUUUGAAACUGAGAAACAAUAGCAUAAUAACCAUCAUGGAUCUUAAAAAUAAGGUGUUGUAUGUUCUUAGGUGUACAUUAUUUCUUGCAAUGGGAUAACCCUUUGGUUAUUUCCUUUAUUUAUCUCUUUUCUUGUUGGCCUAUUCUCUCUUCCUAAAUGAUUUCCUCCAUGGCUUCAAUUACAGUCUCUAUGACAUUACCCCCAAAUUUCUGUUUCCAAAGCAGACUCCUUUCUGCACUGCAACCCCAUAUAUCCAACUGCUUUCUCUGUAUCUUCUCCCCUUUGUCUCCCAGGCCCCUCAAACUUAACAUGUCCAAACUCUCAGUCUUACUCUGGAGGCUGCUUCUCCUGCCAUGUUCCCUAGUUCCGUGAAUGCACCACCAUUUCCCCAUCUCAUGCUAACACCUGAGAGCUACUCUUGAUACCUCCUCUCUUCCUCAUUUUUCACAUCCAUUUAGUACCAAGUUCUGUGGGCCUACAUUCUCAAUAUCUUUGGAUGUCUUCACUUCUCUCCAUAUUGUGAUGCCUGCUCUGAUCCAAGCCACCGUCCUCUCUCACCCGAGCUGUUGAUAAGGCCUCCUAAGGAAUUCUCUGCAUCCACGUUUGCUCCCCACCAGUGCAGACUUCUCAGUGAUCUUUUUUUUUUUAAAGAUUUUAUUUUUUUCCUUUUUCUCCCCAAAGCCCCCCAGUACAUAGUUG